UUGAUACUGAAGAGCUUGAAUAUAGUUGAGGUAGGCGGAAUGUGCAGUGUAGCGGUGAAAUGCUUAUAUAUUGCACAGAACACCGAUUGCGAAGGCAGCUUACUAAAUUAUUAUUGACGCUGAGGGACGAAAGCGUGGGGAUCGAACAGGAUUAGAUACCCUGGUAGUCCACGCCGUAAACUAUGUUCACUCGCUGUUUGCGAUAUACCGUAAGCGGCCAAGCGAAAGCAUUAAGUGAACCACCUGGGGAGUACGUCGGCAACGGUGAAACUCAAAGGAAUUGACGGGGGCCCGCACAAGCGGAGGAACAUGUGGUUUAAUUCGAUGAUACGCGAGGAACCUUACCUGGGCUUAAAUGUAGAUUGCAUGUGGUGGAAACACCCUUCCCUUCGGGGCUAUCUACAAGGUGCUGCAUGGUUGUCGUCAGCUCGUGCCGUGAGGUGUCGGGUUAAGUCCCAUAACGAGCGCAA
Molecule: ribosomal RNA, 470 nt
Filed under: uncultured bacterium
Lineage: Bacteria
Description: bacterial SSU rRNA
Rfam family: Bacterial small subunit ribosomal RNA
Source: RNAcentral